UUUGGGAAAACGAGUGAGAUUGCUGCUGUGGAGCUCUGUCCAUACCAGGAGCUGCUGCAGGGGCUUUGAUGGAGCAGGGAGCCUCAGAGGCUGUUGGUGGCUUCACUGGAGCCAGGGCAGAGACAGCUGCUGUGCCUAGAGCUGACUGAGGUGGGCCUGCAGUGAAGGAACUGAGUAAAGGGACAGCAGCAGAGGGGUGACUAGAGGAUUCCCACCUAUCCAACAGCACCACUGGGAUACUCAGGAUCUUCUUUAAUGUCAACAUCAUCAGGAGCCCAGGGACAAGACACCACCAAGCAACUGAAGCACUGAUCAAAGAGGAGAGCCUGGCUGAAGGGCAACCAGCCAGCCUGUGGUGAGAAGCAUCUUCGUUUGUAAGGGCAUUAUAAGUGUUAAGAUCAGUAGAAUACGUUUUGCUUUUAUUUUAU
Chrysemys picta bellii (western painted turtle) is the source of this 428-nucleotide non-coding RNA. The record is from RefSeq and is a predicted model, not a curated record. NCBI's taxonomy places the organism in Eukaryota, Metazoa, Chordata, Testudines, Emydidae.